Long non-coding RNA from Hemicordylus capensis (graceful crag lizard), 1292 nucleotides. RefSeq lists it as uncharacterized. NCBI's taxonomy places the organism in Eukaryota, Metazoa, Chordata, Lepidosauria, Squamata, Cordylidae. The transcript has 3 exons. The record is from RefSeq and is a predicted model, not a curated record.
CAUCCUGGGGGAAGAGCUCACUGAGGAACCCUCCAUGCCAGAACCCCUUCCAGCACCUCACAUCACCAACAACAUCCUGGAGGAAGAGCUCAUUGAGGAAACCUCAAUGCCAGAACCCCUUCCAACACCUUGCAUCACCAAUGACCUACUGGGGAAUGUGCUCAUUGAGGAUACCUCAGUGCCAGGUCCUUCCAUCCUCACAGACACUCCAAAGGAAGCAGCUUCUGUGUCAGAGCCCUUACUUGAGCCUUCCACUGCUGAUAAUUAUCUCCACCAAGAAGUAGAACUCCUCAAAGGGUUACAGCAUGACUAUGUCCAGCAGCAACUGUGGGUUCGCCGCAUUUCCCAACAGUUCCCUAGUUCUCUCUGGGCCAUCAACCUGCAAAUUGGACACACGUGGACAAGGCUCAUCCGCAGUGAAGUUCGGCUGCAGCGGUGAGAAAGGGAAGGUAUGGUCACAGCAUGUCCCUGAAAUUGCUGCUGGGCUAAGAACGGCUCUUUUGUUUAUUUCAUGUUGAAAUGCUUGAUUUGUGUCUGCAUCUAAGGUUUCAGUGGGGAGGCCUGUGAGUGGGUUGUCAGUGCUUGCUGAAGUGUUCCUUCGUUUUCUGUCUUUCAUGUGUCCAAGCUCCAGUGCCUGUAAUCCAAGCAGCUUCUCAGAGUGAGCAGUGAGGGCAAGUGAUGGUGGGUGUGGUAGGAUGUCAGCCUUUGCAGCUGACCUCCUGUUCUUCUUCUUUCUUGCAGAUGUUCCUGCAGGCCCUGCUGCACUUCUCCAGCCCUCUGGGUCUGAGUCAUCAUUAUCCUCUGCCUCCCUUGACGUUGCCUCCAUCCCACCCUCCACCUCCACCUCUUUCCUCCUCCUGCAUCCCUCUCCACCUCCCCCUCCUUCCCCACCUCCUCUGGAGCCGGACCUCAGCAAUGUGAAAGAAACUCUGCAGAGUUUGGUAGAGAUGCAGGUUCAUCAGCUGCGUGACCGCCAAAGAGACCUCCGCAGCUGCCAGGAAUGCUUACAAAGCUUCAAGGCACUGAGGGGACAAUUGAGGCGGCUAAGGAGCAGACUGGCCAGGGUGGAAGCCACUAUGGGGAUCGUGGUUCCUCCAAGGGAGCGGGACGUUGCUGAGGAAGAAGGGGAAGGCAAAUUAAAAGAGACAACUGUGCUACUAUUUACAUAAGUAGCAAUAAAAUGCUGUGUAUAUAUUUUUUUAAUUAAAUAUUUGUUUUAAUAGGAUGUAGAGAUAGAACAGCAAUAAAACUUGCAUAUUUAUUGUUUAAAAAAAUAAAAUGUUUUAUUUUAA